Molecule: ribosomal RNA, 504 nt
Filed under: uncultured bacterium
Lineage: Bacteria
Description: partial 16S ribosomal RNA
Rfam family: Bacterial small subunit ribosomal RNA
Source: RNAcentral
AUUGAACGCUGGCGGCAGGCUUAACACAUGCAAGUCGAGCGGAGCGAGGGUGCUUGCACCUUAGCUUAGCGGCGGACGGGUGAGUAAUGCUUAGGAAUCUGCCUAUUAGUGGGGGACAACAUUCCGAAAGGAAUGCUAAUACCGCAUACGCCCUACGGGGGAAAGCAGGGGAUCUUCGGACCUUGCGCUAAUAGAUGAGCCUAAGUCGGAUUAGCUAGUUGGUGGGGUAAAGGCCUACCAAGGCGACGAUCUGUAGCGGGUCUGAGAGGAUGCUCCGCCACACUGGGACUGAGACACGGCCCAGACUCCUACGGGAGGCAGCAGUGGGGAAUAUUGGACAAUGGGCGGAAGCCUGAUCCAGCCAUGCCGCGUGUGUGAAGAAGGCCUUUUGGUUGUAAAGCACUUUAAGCGAGGAGGAGGCUACUUAGAUUAAUACUCUGGGAUAGUGGACGUUACUCGCAGAAUAAGCACCGGCUAACUCUGUGCCAGCCGCCGCCGCGGUAA